GCAUAUCAAUAAGCGGAGGAAAAGAAAAAUUACUAUGGUUCCCCUUAGUAACUGGGAGGAAAGAGGGGCCAUGUUCAAAUUUUUAAUGAGAUAGGUUCUUCCUGACCGAGUUGUAAUUUAAGAAGGCGUUUUUCUGUUAUUCUGAUCAAUCCAAGUCGUUGGGAUAAAGGCAUCACGUGAGGGUGAGAAUCCCGUUCGGUUGAUCAGGUCACUUUACGAUACGUCAUCAAAGAGUCAAGUUGUUUGGGAUUGCAGCUUAAAAUGGGAGGUAAAUUUCUCCUAAGGCUAAAUAACGGCGAGAGACCGAUAGCGAACAAGUACCGUGAGGGAAAGAUGGAAAGAACUUUGAAAAGAGAGUUAAACAGUACGUGAAAUUGUUGAAAGGGAAACGAUUAAAGCCAGUCGUACAGGCGGGUAAUCAGCCUUUUGGGUGUGAUUAUGUGGAACGUGAGGAGUUUAAUCGCCUUCAUGCCUGCAUAUUCGUGCACUUUGGGUGUACUUGCUCGUGUUGGUAGGUUAACAUCAAUUUCGAUCAUCAUAAAAUGAUUGGGGGAAUGUAGCUUCGAUCUCGUGUUGAAGUGUUAUAGACUCUGGUAGAUGUGAUGAUCGGGAUUGAGGAUUGCAACGGAUACCCUUAUGGGCUACCCGUCUGAUCUCUGAGAGUUACUCUGGUGCCGAAAGCGUGCUUACGGUAUCAAAAUUGACGUUCAAUAGGUUAGAACGGGUUAAAUUCCUUUAUAUGUUGACGUAAUGGCUUUAAACGAC
This 765-nucleotide ribosomal RNA is filed under the name uncultured Rhizophagus. RNAcentral's name for it is "eukaryotic LSU rRNA". It matches the Rfam family "Eukaryotic large subunit ribosomal RNA", at positions 38 to 648 of the family's 3401-position model. The record is from RNAcentral. Lineage: Eukaryota; Fungi; Glomeromycota; Glomeromycetes; Glomerales; Glomeraceae.